GCACUGCCGAGGAGUCCCACAGUAGGACGAAACUGCUGUCCAGUGC
This 46-nucleotide non-coding RNA is filed under the name Schistosoma mansoni. Lineage: Eukaryota; Metazoa; Platyhelminthes; Trematoda; Strigeidida; Schistosomatidae. The record is from RNAcentral.